RNAcentral lists this transfer RNA (76 nucleotides) under Polymorphobacter multimanifer. Its description in RNAcentral is "tRNA-Lys". It matches the Rfam family "tRNA". Rfam says of the family: Transfer RNA (tRNA) molecules are approximately 80 nucleotides in length. Their secondary structure includes four short double-helical elements and three loops (D, anti-codon, and T loops). Further hydrogen bonds mediate the characteristic L-shaped molecular structure. tRNAs have two regions of fundamental functional importance: the anti-codon, which is responsible for specific mRNA codon recognition, and the 3' end, to which the tRNAs corresponding amino acid is attached (by aminoacyl-tRNA synthetases). tRNAs cope with the degeneracy of the genetic code in two manners: having more than one tRNA (with a specific anti-codon) for a particular amino acid; and 'wobble' base-pairing, i.e. permitting non-standard base-pairing at the 3rd anti-codon position. Lineage: Bacteria; Pseudomonadati; Pseudomonadota; Alphaproteobacteria; Sphingomonadales; Sphingosinicellaceae. The record is from RNAcentral. RNAcentral also lists the same sequence under 1 other name.
GGGCCCUUAGCUCAAUCGGUAGAGCGGACGCCUUUUAAGCGUUAGGUCGCGGGUUCAAAUCCCGCAGGGCCCACCA